CGGGAAUUCGAUUAGAGUUUGAUCAUGGCUCAGAACGAACGCUGGCGGCAUGCCUAACACAUGCAAGUCGAACGAACCCUUCGGGGUUAGUGGCGCACGGGUGCGUAACGCGUGGGAAUCUGCCCUUGGCUUCGGAAUAACAGUUAGAAAUGACUGCUAAUACCGGAUGAUGUCUUCGGACCAAAGAUUUAUCGGCCAGGGAUGAGCCCGCGUAGGAUUAGGUAGUUGGUGGGGUAAAGGCCUACCAAGCCGACGAUCCUUAGCUGGUCUGAGAGGAUGAUCAGCCACACUGGGACUGAGACACGGCCCAGACUCCUACGGGAGGCAGCAGUGGGGAACAUUGGACAAUGGGCGCAAGCCUGAUCCAGCAAUGCCGCGUGAGUGAUGAAGGCCUUAGGGUCGUAAAGCUCUUUUACCCGGGAUGAUAAUGACAGUACCGGGAGAAUAAGCUCCGGCUAACUCCGUGCCAGCAGCCGCGGUAAUACGAAUCACUAGUGAAUUCGCGGCCGCCUGCAGGUCGACCAUAU
This 527-nucleotide ribosomal RNA is filed under the name uncultured Alphaproteobacteria bacterium. Its description in RNAcentral is "bacterial SSU rRNA". It matches the Rfam family "Bacterial small subunit ribosomal RNA", at positions 1 to 585 of the family's 1533-position model. The record is from RNAcentral. Lineage: Bacteria; Pseudomonadati; Pseudomonadota; Alphaproteobacteria.